AAUGAUUUCUCACUCAAAGGGCUUUAGAAACAUGCUUCUAAAGUCGCCUGGGGAUGGGGCCGCGUCCGAUCAGGUUGUUGGUGAGGUAAUGGCUCACCAAGCCUAUAACCAGUACGGGCCGUGAGAGCGGUAGCCCGGAGAUGGGUACUGAGACAAGGACCCAGGCCCCACGGGGCGCAGCAGUCGCGAAAACUCCGCAAUGCACGAAAGUGUGACGGGGCUACCCCGAGUGCCAUCCGCUGAGGAUGGCUUUUCCUUGGUAUAACUAGCCGAGGGAAUAAGGAGAGGGCAAGACUGGUGUCAGCCGCCGCGGUAAUACCAGCUCUCCGAGUGGUAGGGAUGAUUAUUGGGCUUAAAGCGUCCGUAGCCGGCUUAGCAAGUCUCCUGUUAAAUUCAGCGACCUAAUCGUUGAGCCGCGGGAGAUACUACUAGGCUAGGAGGCGGGAGAGGUCGACGGUACUCCUGGGGUAGGGGUGAAAUCCUAUAAUCCCGGGAGGACCACCAGUGGCGAAGGCUGUCGACUAGAACGCGCUCGACGGUGAGGGACGAAAGCUGGGGGAGCGAACCGGAUUAGAUACCCGGGUAGUCCCAGCCGUAAACGAUGCGGGCUAGGUGUUGGGGUGGCUACGUGCCACUUCAGUGCCGCAGGGAAGCCAUUAAGCCCGCCGCCUGGGGAGUACGGCCGCAAGGCUGAAAC
This 697-nucleotide ribosomal RNA is filed under the name uncultured archaeon. RNAcentral's name for it is "bacterial SSU rRNA". It matches the Rfam family "Archaeal small subunit ribosomal RNA", at positions 174 to 855 of the family's 1478-position model. The record is from RNAcentral.